Molecule: ribosomal RNA, 440 nt
Filed under: uncultured bacterium
Lineage: Bacteria
Description: partial 16S ribosomal RNA
Rfam family: Bacterial small subunit ribosomal RNA
Source: RNAcentral
CCUACGGGUGGCAGCAGUGGGGAAUAUUGCACAAUGGGGGAAACCCUGAUGCAGCGACGCCGCGUGAGUGACGAAGUAUUUCGGUAUGUAAAGCUCCAUCAGCCGGGAAGAAAAUGCCGGUACCUGAUUCAGAAGCCCCGGCAAACUACGUGCCAGCAGCCGCGGUAAUACGUAGGGGGCAAGCGUUAUCCGGAUUUACCUGGGGUAAAGGGAGCGUAGACGGUAGCACAGGUCCGGAGGGAAAUGCCGGGGCUUAACCCCGGAACUGCCUUGGAAACUGUGCAUCUAGAGUGCAGGAGAGGUAAGUGGAAUGCGUAGUGUAGCGGUGAAAUGCGUAGAUAUUAGGAAGAACACCAGUGGCGAAGGCAGCUUACUGGACUGUAACUGACGUUGAGGCUCGAAAGCGUGGGGAGCAAACAGGAUUAGAUACCCCUGUAGUC